AAUAAGUAAAUAAUUUGUGUAUGUACCUAAGAAGGCAAAUAUGUAAUCUAGUCAUUAUAUUAUCUUUAGUACGUAUUUAUAUCUAAGCAGUUAUAAACUAUGAGUAAAAGUUUUCAGAUUAAUAUGUUGUUUCUAUAAACAUUUAAAUUAUGUAAUAAUGAGGAUCUUCUAUACAUUCGUACAUUUUUUCCUUCAAAAUGUGGUAUAUCAUUUCAAAGUAUCACUAUACUUUUACAACAUUAGAAAUUUUCAAAUUGUUAGUAUUCACAUCCAUUUUAUAGUGGAUCAGCUUUGAUUUUUGUUUCUAAAACUAAUGCUGUGAGAAAAAUAAUUUUUUUUUUCCUCUUAAAGCUUUAUUGGACAUUCGUUGGGCAAUUUAAUAAUUCGUUCAGUGCUUACAAGGCCAAGGUUUAAAUAUUACCUCAACAAACUUCAUACCUUUCUGUCUCUUUCUGGACCUCACCUUGGUACACUCUACAACAGCAGUGCUCUUGUUAAUACAGGUCUCUGGUUUAUGCAGAAAUGGAAAAAAUCAGGUUCGCUUUUGCAGCUGACAUGU
RNAcentral lists this small RNA (559 nucleotides) under Pongo abelii (Sumatran orangutan). Its description in RNAcentral is "retained intron". Lineage: Eukaryota; Metazoa; Chordata; Mammalia; Primates; Hominidae. The record is from RNAcentral.